This 310-nucleotide long non-coding RNA is filed under the name Elaeis guineensis (African oil palm). Its description in RNAcentral is "long non-coding RNA (EGUI_LNC054865)". The record is from RNAcentral. Lineage: Eukaryota; Viridiplantae; Streptophyta; Magnoliopsida; Arecales; Arecaceae.
GGAACAAGCAAAAAAAUAAAAAAAGAUGCAUCAGAUCUCACCCAGAAACAGUAGUGCUUAAACUUUUAUUAGCAAGUCAACCUACCAUAAAAUAAAACUAAGCAGCAGUCCAAUGAGUAAUUCAACUUAUCAUGCAAUUUUAGUUGUAGACCUGUACCUACAAUAUGUGGACUCCACUUACAAGAUUUCGAACAAACCCUAAGAGAGAUGGUGAGUAAACUUUUCUAUGUGCAUGAAAAAAAAUUUAUUUUUAAUAUGUAUAUUUUGUUUUCACUAAGAAAUUCUUAGGGUGCAAUGUGCAUACUCCACG